GCCUUUUCAUUGAGUAAAAGAGGAGCCUAAUAAUGAGUAUCCUUAAGAACCUCUUCAUUCUUUUGGUGGGCGUUUCGGUCGUGAAUACCUUGGUAACUUACCAUGAUGCCAGAGAUAGGAUUGCAACCACCAAGAUACACACGAAAUGGUUUGCGUUGGAUUAUUCUACUAUUGGAGGAUAUUGGUUAACUUGGAGUGAAAAAAUUUAUGAAUAUUCUUCAGAUAGAACAAUAUGCCAUUAUGAAGAUAAAAACCUAGCUCCUAAUAGCACUGUAGCGGUGGGUUUUACGAUGAAGCCGAGAGCUUAUUGUGGAAUUCUUAGUUGUAUUUUAUAUAACAAUAGGCCAACAGCUCAGCUUAUUUACUGCCAAGAGCCAGCCACUUUCGCUGAGUGCGAAACUGAUGGCAUAGAUACGGAGAUGAAAUACCCCGAAUGUUGCUGGAAGUGCGUCAAGUAUAAAGACUGUUAGCUCUGAGGAGGGGCUAAUAUUUUUAUUCCUGUUCAGAUCGACCGUAAUUAUAUCAUAUCAUAAUGAGUGCUGGUGACGGGAUCUUUAUUUUGUAAAAUGCGAAAAUAAAUAUUAAACUACUCAUUUA
This is a long non-coding RNA of Drosophila miranda, 597 nucleotides long. RefSeq lists it as uncharacterized. The record is from RefSeq and is a predicted model, not a curated record. NCBI's taxonomy places the organism in Eukaryota, Metazoa, Arthropoda, Insecta, Diptera, Drosophilidae. The transcript is spliced from 2 exons.